AGUUCUGGCGUCAGGAUGAACGCUGGCGGCGUGCUUAACACAUGCAAGUCGAACGGAGUAUUAACGCUGCAGAGAUUCGGUCGAAGCUUGUUAAUACUUAGUGGCGGACGGGUGAGUAACGCGUGGGUAACCUGCCGUAUGCAGGGGGACAACAGUUGGAAACGGCUGCUAAUACCGCAUAAGCGCACAGUAUUGCAUGAUACAGUGUGAAAAGAUUUAUCGGCAUACGAUGGACCCGCGUUUGAUUAGCUAGUUGGUGAGGUAACGGCUCACCAAGGCGACGAUCCAAUAGCCGGCCUGAGAGGGCAAUCGGCCACAUUGGGACUGAGACACGGCCCAAACUCCUACGGGAGGCAGCAGUGGGGAAUAUUGCACAAUGGGGGAAACCCUGAUGCAGCCGACGCCGCGUGAGUGAAGAAGUAUUUCGGUAUGUAAAGCUCUAUCAGCAGGGAAGAUGAUGACGGUACCUGACUAAGAAGCCCCGGCUAACUACGUGCCAGCCGCCGC
This 507-nucleotide ribosomal RNA is filed under the name uncultured bacterium. Its description in RNAcentral is "bacterial SSU rRNA". It matches the Rfam family "Bacterial small subunit ribosomal RNA", at positions 14 to 518 of the family's 1533-position model. The record is from RNAcentral.